This is a long non-coding RNA of Cyprinus carpio carpio, 1546 nucleotides long. NCBI's taxonomy places the organism in Eukaryota, Metazoa, Chordata, Actinopteri, Cypriniformes, Cyprinidae. The record is from Ensembl.
AAAUUUAUUAUGUUCACUAUUCUUGAGUGCAGACAAUUAGAAUGAUUUCUGAAAGAUCAUACUGCGUAUUGAUGCUUUUUUUUUUAAGAAAAUACUUCCUAUACUACACAACUAUUAGCUAAUAUAUUUUUCAAAAGCGUAUUAAAUGCUAAAUAAAUAACAAUAUCCAUAGUUUUCAUUUUUAAAUUUAGGAUUUUAUUAAACGAAUUUUAUUUCCGUAUUUAUUAGUCUAGGUGAAAGCAACGUCCCUAUUUUUCCAGACCAACGAACAGAUUUCACCUCACCUGUUUAACUCCCAGUCAGGCCCCGCUGAACAGGGGCCACAAAAGACACACAGGAUCUAAGACUUGAAUUAUUGAUCACUGGCUGAGUGGGGAAGAAACCUGGGGCUGCUCAAUCCUGGUGACAGACAAUAAAUCCGAAUACCCCAUGGAAAGAUGAAAGGAGUGAGGGAUUAAGUUAGAGCAGAGAGGAAGAGGAGCAUGACAGGGAGGGAGUAAGGUUGGGUUGAUCAGUCUAUGAGCUGCAGACACACUCUUACCAUACACAGGGGAAAUGGGUCCUCAGCUACACUUCAGCAGCACCUACUCAGAGGAGUUCAGUUACCCGGCUCGGGUCAAACCCACCCGGCCCAGACCGUCCUCUGCAUAUCGCAGGAACAAUCCUCAUCCACAACCGCAACUGGGAUAAGAUGCAAUAUUGAGCCUGGAGAGCGUUGUAGCUGCUUGAUUCUGCAAAACAACCUACUUGUGGGGGGCCUUGUACAGGAGGCUCUGGUUACACUGUUUCCAAACCACUGAAUAGGGAUCGAAGGACUUUCUGAUGCCAAGAAUGCUGCAGACAGGAUACGGCUCACGGAAAUACUUUCAGACAACUACUCCUUCUACCACUUUUCUACCUCCAGUCAGACACAUGUCAGUCCAGUAUCCAGAUGCACAAACAGCACAUGGACAGUCAAUGCAGAGCUCAUCACAAAGAGAUUACAAAGCACCUGUGGUCUCGUCUGCAGUUUGUACACUGCCACCUGCUGCCUGCUUUCUCAAACCACAACCAAACAACUUUGCUCAUGCAACAAUCUCAAACACACAAGGGAAAUAUUCAGAAACAGAUCAUAUCAGAUCAGCUUGGAACCAGCAGAUGGAGAUCAUGCCAUCUUUAAAAGCCUUCAAACACCAGGGUACCCAUCAUCAAAGAUCGCGCUCAAAAUCCACUACUGAUUGCAGUGAAGGAAACAGCUGUUUCUAUGUGGUGAAGCCAUAUAAAGUCGGACACUACAUCAUCCACCCAGAGUUUGUGUCAGAAGCAAAGCACUACUAAAAGCCACAUUGUUUGGGCAUUUUAUAUCUAUUUUUUUUUCCCAUUUAUUGUCAGUUUAUAAAUGUCAUUUUACAGUGUAUUAUUGAGGUACGUUAUGUGUUUGGAGAUCCUGCCUUGAGAUCUAAAUGUGCAUUACAUGACAAAUAAACAACGUUUAUGAUGUGCCUGUUAAAUGUUUGUUAUUUUGUCUUACAAACAUCACCAUGGGAACCAGUAGGCUAAGUACAAC